ACGCUGGCGGCGUGCCUAAUACAUGCAAGUAGAACGCACAGGAUGCACCGUAGUUUACUACACCGUAUUCUGUGAGUUGCGAACGGGUGAGUAACGCGUAGGUAACCUGCCUGGUAGCGGGGGAUAACUAUUGGAAACGAUAGCUAAUACCGCAUAAGAACAUUUACUGCAUGGUAGAUGUUUAAAAGGUGCAAGAGCAUCACUACCAGAUGGACCUGCGUUGUAUUAGCUAGUUGGUGAGGUAACGGCUCACCAAGGCAACGAUACAUAGCCGACCUGAGAGGGUGAUCGGCCACACUGGGACUGAGACACGGCCCAGACUCCUACGGGAGGCAGCAGUAGGGAAUCUUCGGCAAUGGGGGGAACCCUGACCGAGCAACGCCGCGUGAGUGAAGAAGGUUUUCGGAUCGUAAAGCUCUGUUGUUAAGGAAGAACGUGUGUGAGAGUGGAAAGUUCACACAGUGACGGUACUUAACCAGAAAGGGACGGCUAACUACGUGCCAGCAGCCGCGGUAAUACGUAGGUCCCGAGCGUUGUCCGGAUUUAUUGGGCGUAAAGCGAGCGCAGGCGGUUAGAUAAGUCUGAAGUGAAAGGCAGUGGCUCAACCAUUGUAGGCUUUGGAAACUGUUUAACUUGAGUGCAGAAGGGGAGAGUGGAAUUCCAUGUGUAGCGGUGAAAUGCGUAGAUAUAUGGAGGAACACCGGUGGCGAAAGCGGCUCUCUGGUCUGUAACUGACGCUGAGGCUCGAAAGCGUGGGGAGCGAACAGGAUUAGAUACCCUGGUAGUCCACGCCGUAAACGAUGAGUGCUAGGUGUUAGGUCCUUUCCGGGACUUAGUGCCGCAGCUAACGCAUUAAGCACUCCGCCUGGGGAGUACGACCGCAAGGUUGAAACUCAAAGGAAUUGACGGG
RNAcentral lists this ribosomal RNA (910 nucleotides) under uncultured bacterium. RNAcentral's name for it is "bacterial SSU rRNA". It matches the Rfam family "Bacterial small subunit ribosomal RNA", at positions 33 to 917 of the family's 1533-position model. The record is from RNAcentral.